GACGAACGCUGGCGGCGUGCUUAACACAUGCAAGUCGAACGGAAAGGCCCUGCUUUUGUGGGGUGCUCGAGUGGCGAACGGGUGAGUAACACGUGAGUAACCUGCCCUUGACUUUGGGAUAACUUCAGGAAACUGGGGCUAAUACCGGAUAGGAGCUCCUGCUGCAUGGUGGGGGUUGGAAAGUUUCGGCGGUUGGGGAUGGACUCGCGGCUUAUCAGCUUGUUGGUGGGGUAGUGGCUUACCAAGGCUUUGACGGGUAGCCGGCCUGAGAGGGUGGCCGGCCACAUUGGGACUGAGCUACGGCCCAGACUCCUACGGGAGGCAGCAGUGGGGAAUAUUGCACAAUGGGCGGAAGCCUGAUGCAGCCACGCCGCGUGCGGGAUGACGGCCUUCGGGUUGUAAACCGCUUUCGCCUGUGACGAAGCGUGAGUGACGGUAAUGGGUAAAGAAGCACCGGCUAACUACGUG
This 468-nucleotide ribosomal RNA is filed under the name uncultured bacterium. Its description in RNAcentral is "partial 16S ribosomal RNA". It matches the Rfam family "Bacterial small subunit ribosomal RNA", at positions 28 to 507 of the family's 1533-position model. The record is from RNAcentral.